This 253-nucleotide ribosomal RNA is filed under the name uncultured bacterium. RNAcentral describes it as "partial 16S ribosomal RNA". It matches the Rfam family "Bacterial small subunit ribosomal RNA", at positions 524 to 776 of the family's 1533-position model. The record is from RNAcentral.
GACAGAGGGUGCAAACGUUGCUCGGAAUUACUGGGCGUAAAGGGCGCGUAGGCGGCGUGUCAAGUCAGGCGUGAAAGCCCCGGGCUCAACCUGGGAACCGCGCUUGAGACUGGCAUGCUCGAGUUCGGGAGAGGAUGGUGGAAUUCCCAGUGUAGAGGUGAAAUUCGUAGAUAUUGGGAAGAACACCGAUGGCGAAGGCAGCCAUCUGGACCGACACUGACGCUGAGGCGCGAAAGCGUGGGGAGCAAACAGG